RNAcentral lists this non-coding RNA (206 nucleotides) under Pontibacillus halophilus. Its description in RNAcentral is "T-box sequence". It matches the Rfam family "T-box leader". Rfam says of the family: Uncharged tRNA acts as the effector for transcription antitermination of genes in the T-box leader family. The record is from RNAcentral. Lineage: Bacteria; Bacillati; Bacillota; Bacilli; Caryophanales; Bacillaceae.
ACGAACGCGUUGAAGGAUCGAGUACGAAGUAGCCCAUCUUUAAGAGAGGAAUUGCCGAGGCUGUGAGCAAUUCCAGAUGAAGAACUUCCGAACGCUAGUCCGGAGUGCGAUUAAUACUCGCCGGGUUUCGCCCCGUUACAGCGAAUACUGAGUGAUGGACCUCGUCCAUAACCAGGGUGGUACCGCGGAAAACUCCCGUCCCUGCA